CGAUCUAGCAGUUAAAGUAUCGGAUAUUAUACGUCAGUGUGAUGAACACAAUAAAGAACAUUUUGGGUGGUGUCCACAUGGAUAUCGAUAUGGAGAACAAGUGCUUUGGCCUGGUGACACCAGAACACUAGCAGAGGUCGGAAUCCCACCUAACGCAAUGAUCCACUGUGGCCCAACAAUAGAAGCGAUGAUGGAUGCAGCCAAACAGGCACAUGAAAAUCAUUCUGCAAAAUGAGAUGUUGUGCUGCACCAAUGCAGACGCACCAAACGUGAGCGCCAACAAGAAUGGUCAUAAAGAACACGCGUUACGUUUUCUUUAAAUCUAAUCAAAACCAACUGUGACAGCUGUGACAUGUAAUUUUUAAAAUUGUUACUCAUCUACUCUUAAGUUCAACUCUUACAUUUGUAACUCUAAGGUAAUUUAUAAGUUGUGUAUAUUGUGUAAAUAGAAUCUACAGGUAUAUGUGUGUGUGUUUUAAAAAAAUCUAAUUAUUAAGAGGAAAGCAAAUGUUGUAUGUGUUUAAUUGACCUGAAAAAGACACUGGACAUACGGAACUACUUCCAUAUCGAAGUAACUGGUAACGUGAGCUACUUGCCAACGGCUAAGUACAAGAAGAACCGAGAACAUAUAUGUAAUACGAUACGUGAAUGUACAAGGUAACAAUGUAUAACACUGUAUUGCAGUUUACUUUCUUUUCCUUUGAAUAGCUUAAUACAUACCACCGCAAAGAACAUACAGUGUAGGUAUAAAGUGCGCGUCAUUCAUUUACCUGUACAAUUUGCUGAAUCUGCUCACAACCUUCAUUCAGCCUUGUUCGC
Molecule: long non-coding RNA, 819 nt
Organism: Lingula anatina
Lineage: Eukaryota; Metazoa; Brachiopoda; Lingulata; Lingulida; Lingulidae
Source: RefSeq, a predicted model, not a curated record